Molecule: ribosomal RNA, 253 nt
Filed under: uncultured bacterium
Lineage: Bacteria
Description: partial 16S ribosomal RNA
Rfam family: Bacterial small subunit ribosomal RNA
Source: RNAcentral
UACGUAGGGUGCGAGCGUUAAUCGGAAUUACUGGGCGUAAAGGGUGCGCAGGCGGCCGCGCAAGUCGAGUGUGAAAUCCCCGGGCUCAACCUGGGAACUGCAUCUGUGACUGCAUUGCUGGAGUGCGGCAGAGGGGGAUGGAAUUCCGCGUGUAGCAGUGAAAUGCGUAGAUAUGCGGAGGAACACCGAUGGCGAAGGCAAUCCCCUGGGCCUGCACUGACGCUCAUGCACGAAAGCGUGGGGAGCAAACAGG